RNAcentral lists this ribosomal RNA (327 nucleotides) under Kyklioacalles pyrenaeus. RNAcentral describes it as "eukaryotic LSU rRNA". It matches the Rfam family "Eukaryotic large subunit ribosomal RNA", at positions 1340 to 1606 of the family's 3401-position model. The record is from RNAcentral. Lineage: Eukaryota; Metazoa; Arthropoda; Insecta; Coleoptera; Curculionidae.
GCUUAUACUCGACCGUCAGCGGCACGUGCGAUCGCGCUCGCGCGCGAUCACGAAGCCCUGACGAGUAGGAGGGUCGCGGCGGUGAGCGCAGAAGGGCUGGCCGCGAGGCCGUCUGGAGCCGCCGUCGGUGCAGAUCUUGGUGGUAGUAGCAAAUACUCCAGCGAGGCCCUGGAGGACUGACGUGGAGAAGGGUUUCGUGUGAACAGCCGUUGCACACGAGUCAGUCGAUCCUAAGCCCUAGGCGAAAGCCGAUGUCGAUGCGGUGUAGCUUUAUUGUUAUUAUUAAUUAAUUAAUUAACGCACACACCCGUCGGGCGAAAGGGAAUC